CACGCCGUAAACUAUGGAUACUAGGUGUGGGAGGUAUCGAACCCUUCCGUGCCGCAGUAAACGCAAUAAGUAUCCCGCCUGGGGAGUACGGCCGCAAGGUUGAAACUCAAAGGAAUUGACGGGGGCCCGCACAAGCAGCGGAGCAUGUGGUUUAAUUCGAAGCAACGCGAAGAACCUUACCAGAACUUGACAUCUCCUGCAUAAUCCGUAAUGGGAUGAAGUCCUUCGGGACAGGAAGACAGGUGG
This 246-nucleotide ribosomal RNA is filed under the name uncultured Lutispora sp. RNAcentral's name for it is "partial 16S ribosomal RNA". It matches the Rfam family "Bacterial small subunit ribosomal RNA", at positions 796 to 1041 of the family's 1533-position model. Lineage: Bacteria; Bacillati; Bacillota; Clostridia; Lutisporales; Lutisporaceae. The record is from RNAcentral.